RNAcentral lists this ribosomal RNA (492 nucleotides) under uncultured bacterium. Its description in RNAcentral is "partial 16S ribosomal RNA". It matches the Rfam family "Bacterial small subunit ribosomal RNA", at positions 29 to 507 of the family's 1533-position model. The record is from RNAcentral.
AGUGAACGCUGGCGGUAGGCCUAACACAUGCAAGUCGAACGGCAGCACAGUAAGAGCUUGCUCUUACGGGUGGCGGGUGGCGGACGGGUGAGGAAUACAUCGGAAUCUACUUUUUCGUGGGGGAUAACGUAGGGAAACUUACGCUAAUACCGCAUACGACCUACGGGUGAAAGCAGGGGAUCUUCGGACCUUGCGCGAUUGAAUGAGCCGAUGUCGGAUUAGCUAGUUGGCGGGGUAAAGGCCCACCAAGGCGACGAUCCGUAGCUGGUCUGAGAGGAUGAUCCGCCACACUGGAACUGGGAAACGGUCCAGACUCCUACGGGAAGCAGCAGUGGGGAAUAUUGGACAAUGGGCGCAAGCCUGAUCCAGCCAUACCGCGUGGGUGAAGAAGGCCUUCGGGUUGUAAAGCCCUUUUGUUGGGAAAGAAAAGCAGCAGGUUAAUACCCCGCUGUUCUGACGGUACCCAAAGAAUAAGCACCGGCUAACUUCGUG